RNAcentral lists this long non-coding RNA (275 nucleotides) under Parus major (Great Tit). Its description in RNAcentral is "lncRNA (ENSPMJG00000001594.1)". The record is from RNAcentral. Lineage: Eukaryota; Metazoa; Chordata; Aves; Passeriformes; Paridae.
GGGUUCCUGGCAACAGUGUUGGAAGGCACCAAAGCAGCAGCAUCACUGAAGGGAAUAUGACCCAGGAAUAUGAGCAGGACCCAGGAUUGCCUCCUGGAUUGUCAGACCCUGGCUUCUCGAUCCCGCUCAAGCAAGGAUGGAAACCAGCUCUGAAAUGCUUUAGGAGGGAUGCAGGAUCCAGAGGUGGGAUGCCAAGGUCUGGAGUCUCGCACCUCCCCUCCAGUUUUGGGAUGGCUGCUCUAAGGCCUGAAGACACUUCUAGAGCCAUCCCCUGA